UCGAGCGAGAAAGGGGAGCAAUCCCUGAGUACAGCGGCGUACGGGUGAGUAACACGUGGGUGAUCUACCUUCUAGUGGGGGAUAACCCUGGGAAACCGGGGCUAAUACCGCAUAAGCCUGUGAAGGGAAAGCAGCAAUGCGCUGGAAGAGGAGCCCGCGGCCGAUUAGCUAGUUGGUGAGGUAACGGCCCACCAAGGCGAUGAUCGGUAGCCGGCCUGAGAGGGCACACGGCCACACUGGCACUGAAACACGGGCCAGACUCCUACGGGAGGCAGCAGUGGGGAAUCUUGCACAAUGGAGGCAACUCUGAUGCAGCGACGCCGCGUGAGCGAUGAAGCCCUUCGGGGUGUAAAGCUCUUUCGGCAGGGACGAUAAUGACGGUACCUGAAGAAGAAGCUGCGGCUAACUACGUGCCAGCAGCCGCGGUAAUACGUAGGCAGCGAGCGUUGUUCGGAAUUACUGGGCG
This 466-nucleotide ribosomal RNA is filed under the name uncultured bacterium. RNAcentral's name for it is "bacterial SSU rRNA". It matches the Rfam family "Bacterial small subunit ribosomal RNA", at positions 62 to 560 of the family's 1533-position model. The record is from RNAcentral.